CCACCGUGUGGAAGAACUGCAGGAUCAAAUUGUUCGUCACGAAGCUAGACUCGCAAUGGAACAGAAACGAUACGAAGAACGCAUUGAUGCUGAAUUGGCGUCGUUAAAGCAAGAACUGGCAGAAGAGGUGGAAGAACGGCAGGUUCAAGACGAAG
RNAcentral lists this non-coding RNA (155 nucleotides) under Tryblionella compressa. Lineage: Eukaryota; Bacillariophyta; Bacillariophyceae; Bacillariales; Bacillariaceae. The record is from RNAcentral.